Long non-coding RNA from Artibeus jamaicensis (Jamaican fruit-eating bat), 1267 nucleotides. RefSeq lists it as uncharacterized. The transcript has 3 exons. NCBI's taxonomy places the organism in Eukaryota, Metazoa, Chordata, Mammalia, Chiroptera, Phyllostomidae. The record is from RefSeq and is a predicted model, not a curated record.
UGGAUGUAGAUAAAAAGUAUCUAUCAGCGGGCAGCUGGGUUGCUUCCACCUUCUGGCCACUGUGAACAAAGCUGCUGUGAACAUGUGUCCAGCCCAAUAUGGAGUAUUACUACUACAGCAAUACCCACAGCUAUAAGAACCCCCCAGCCCCAACCACCACCACUGCUACCACCAGCAGCAGCCAACAUGGAAACUGUGCCCUUUUUGCUCUGAGUCUGGUGCCCCCCACGGAUGAAGUCCAUUGGAAUUCAGAUCCCACAGAGACUGGAGGGCAGCAGUGUCUCCACUGGAAGAAAAAAGCCUGAGACUGCAGGUAAGUGCUGGAAACAGGAGCAGCUCACCCAGGGAGACCAGAAAGCCUGCAGCCUAAGAAGAAAAGCUGAGUUUGGGACCUGGCAAAUGAUUGGGUGAUCAGGGAAUUCUAUGCAGUGUAGAGAGCAGGUGUACUCAUUCUUGUUUCAUGGGUUAAACAGCCAACAGAGGUUAGAAGGAUGAUGGGCUCAUUCCAUUUCACACAAAUUGACACUUAAAUUUAUAGGUGGCCUGUCCAGAAAGUAUUCAGCCAUGCACUAUGAAAAAUAGAGACAUUUAUUGAAGAAGUUACAAGAUGCAAGAAACGUGCAUAGGACAAUGACACCUCAGUCCCCUUCAAAGUCAUGACCUUCUUGAGGAAAUCUGGUUCAUUGGCAGCAGUUUGAAUCAAGGCAUUAGCAACUGCAGCAUGAUGUUCCUUCUGCUCUAGUAGCAGAAGCCAUGGAAUGAAUUUUGCCACAACAUGUUCACGCCAAGAUCCCACAUCAAAAUCUCAGGCACAGUUGUUCCUGUAAUCCCCAAAUCAGCUUCUAGUUCUUGCUCUCUUAGUCAUUGAUCUUUGUUGAUUGCAGCCUGCAUACACUCAACACUCUCAGGCAUUCUACUUGUUGCAGGCCUUCCAGAACAUGGAUCACUUUCAACAGAUUCUCAACCAUCUUUGAGGUGUUUGUGCCACACUUUUAUUUGUGCUGCACUCAUGGCAUCAUCCCCAAAAACCUUUUGAAUCAUCUGAAUAGUUUCCAGAGGGGAAUGGUUAUACUUAACACAAAAUGUGAUGCAGAUUCAUUGCUCUUUUUGCUCAGUCCUUUUGAAUGUGAUGGUCACACAGUACACAUGCUCACUCAACAGCAUCCACCACCCCCACUGACUGGCACAGUAAAGUCAUCAUUGUGCACACAGGCACAUUCCCGUCCACUCACCUCUGCUGCCAGGUUACACUGACGUCACACAAACU